This 64-nucleotide ribosomal RNA is filed under the name Dictyoglomus thermophilum. RNAcentral describes it as "partial 23S ribosomal RNA". The record is from RNAcentral. Lineage: Bacteria; Pseudomonadati; Dictyoglomota; Dictyoglomia; Dictyoglomales; Dictyoglomaceae.
GUCAAAGUAGAAAGGGCGUACGGUGGAUGCCUAGGCACCAAGGGCCGAAGAAGGACGCGGCAGG